GAUGAACGCUGGCGGCGUGCCUAUACCUGCAAGUCGAGCGAACGGACGAGAAGCUUGCUUCUCUGAUGUUAGCGGCGGACGGGUGAGUAACACGUGGAUAACCUACCUAUAAGACUGGGAUAACUUCGGGAAACCGUAGCUAAUACCGGAUAAUAUUUUGAACCGCAUGGUUUAAAAGUGAAAGUCGGUCUUGCUGUCACUUAUAGAUUGAUCCGCGCUGCAUUAGCUAGUUGGUAAGGUAACGGCUUACCAAGGCAACGAUGCAUAGCCGGCCUGAGAGGGUGAUCGGCCACACUGGAACUGACACACGGUCCAGACUCGUACGGGAGGCAGCAGUAGGGAAUCUGCCGGAAUGGGCGAAAGCCUGACGGAGCAACGCCGCGUGAGUGAUGAAGGUCUUCGGAUCGUAAAACUCUGUUAGUAGGGAAGAACAUAUGUGUAAGUAACUGUGCACAUCUUGACGGUACCUAAUCAGAAAGCCACGGCUAACUACGUG
Molecule: ribosomal RNA, 496 nt
Filed under: uncultured bacterium
Lineage: Bacteria
Description: partial 16S ribosomal RNA
Rfam family: Bacterial small subunit ribosomal RNA
Source: RNAcentral